AGCGAACGCUGGCGGCAGGCCUAACACAUGCAAGUCGAACGAACCUUUCGGGGUUAGGGGCGGACGGGUGAGUAACACGUGGGAACGUGCCUUUAGGUUCGGAAUAACUCAGGGAAACUUGUGCUAAUACCGAAUGUGCCCUUCGGGGGAAAGAUUUAUCGCCUUUAGAGCGGCCCGCGUCUGAUUAGCUAGUUGGUUGAGGUAAUGGCUCACCAAGGCGACGAUCAGUAGCUGGUCUGAGAGGAUGAGCAGCCACAUUGGGACUGAGACACGGCCCAAACUCCUACGGGAGGCAGCAGUGGGGAAUCUUGCGCAAUGGGCGAAAGCCUGACGCAGCCAUGCCGCGUGAAUGAUGAAGGUCUUAGGAUUGUAAAAUUCUUUCACCGGGGACGAUAAUGACGGUACCCGGAGAAGAAGCCCCGGCUAACUUCGUG
Molecule: ribosomal RNA, 434 nt
Filed under: uncultured bacterium
Lineage: Bacteria
Description: partial 16S ribosomal RNA
Rfam family: Bacterial small subunit ribosomal RNA
Source: RNAcentral